This 778-nucleotide long non-coding RNA is filed under the name Androctonus crassicauda. Lineage: Eukaryota; Metazoa; Arthropoda; Arachnida; Scorpiones; Buthidae. The record is from RNAcentral.
AAAAAAGUUCGGAAUUAACGAAUUUUUUUGAUCUGAAAAUGAAGUCUUUUUAUGCAGCAUUACAGAAACAUUUACAUAGCUUGUUGGUUGUAUCUUGUGACUAAUUCACAGUAUAAUGUAAAAGAGAUAACCUACAAGUUUUAUGUUUCUGGGCAUUCCUAUAAUGAUUGUGAUAAAGAUUUUGGUAUUGUUGAAUGAGUUAAACCGAAUUGUGGAAUUUAUCUACCCUUCAUAUUAGUUAAAAGUAAUUGAAGAUGCCAAGUUAGAAACCUCUUUUGUGUGCUAUGAAAUGAGUUUCAACAACUUUAAAGAUAUUAAAAUCCUCUUAGCACAAGCUGUGAACCAUAAAGUGGACAUAAUUGGCAAUAAAGUUCACUGGCUUAGGAUAAAAAGUAUUCAAGUGAAAGAGAAGGAGCCAUUUUCAAUAUUUUUUAAAUAUAUACAUGAUCAAAAUGAAGAAUAUAAAGAACUCUCAGUAAAGAACAUCAGGGAAUGACCUAAAACUCUGGGUCUGGUUACACUUCCAAACUUCAUGGAGCCUAUACAACUUUCUCAAACAAAAGUAAGAUUAUAGGCCUUUUGUCAAUCAUGCAGAUGUUAAAAAUACAGUUUAUUGUUUAUCAAACAUAAGUGUUUGUUACAGGUGAAAGACUUGCAAUCUUUUAGAAUUCAUCCCACUAGUGCAUCAGGACUUACAAAAACUUGAGUAUAUCAUAAAUUGAAGAAAUGAAUAGAUUUCCAGACUCAGAAGAUGAGGAAGAGGAAUUACAUGCCAGAC